GCUAGGUGGCUCAGUCAAUACAGUGCCUGACCUGGAGUCAGGAGGUUCUGAGUUCAAAUCUGAGCCUGAGCA
This 72-nucleotide transfer RNA is filed under the name Monodelphis domestica (gray short-tailed opossum). It matches the Rfam family "tRNA". Rfam says of the family: Transfer RNA (tRNA) molecules are approximately 80 nucleotides in length. Lineage: Eukaryota; Metazoa; Chordata; Mammalia; Didelphimorphia; Didelphidae. The record is from Rfam by way of RNAcentral.